RNAcentral lists this ribosomal RNA (2932 nucleotides) under Escherichia coli. RNAcentral's name for it is "23S ribosomal RNA". It matches the Rfam family "Bacterial large subunit ribosomal RNA". Lineage: Bacteria; Pseudomonadati; Pseudomonadota; Gammaproteobacteria; Enterobacterales; Enterobacteriaceae. The record is from RNAcentral.
GGGUUGUGAGGUUAAGCGACUAAGCGUACACGGUGGAUGCCCUGGCAGUCAGAGGCGAUGAAGGACGUGCUAAUCUGCGAUAAGCGUCGGUAAGGUGAUAUGAACCGUUAUAACCGGCGAUUUCCGAAUGGGGAAACCCAGUGUGAUUCGUCACACUAUCAUUAACUGAAUCCAUAGGUUAAUGAGGCGAACCGGGGGAACUGAAACAUCUAAGUACCCCGAGGAAAAGAAAUCAACCGAGAUUCCCCCAGUAGCGGCGAGCGAACGGGGAGCAGCCCAGAGCCUGAAUCAGUGUGUGUGUUAGUGGAAGCGUCUGGAAAGGCGCGCGAUACAGGGUGACAGCCCCGUACACAAAAAUGCACAUGCUGUGAGCUCGAUGAGUAGGGCGGGACACGUGGUAUCCUGUCUGAAUAUGGGGGGACCAUCCUCCAAGGCUAAAUACUCCUGACUGACCGAUAGUGAACCAGUACCGUGAGGGAAAGGCGAAAAGAACCCCGGCGAGGGGAGUGAAAAAGAACCUGAAACCGUGUACGUACAAGCAGUGGGAGCACAGAGCAAUCUGUGUGACUGCGUACCUUUUGUAUAAUGGGUCAGCGACUUAUAUUCUGUAGCAAGGUUAACCGAAUAGGGGAGCCGAAGGGAAACCGAGUCUUAACUGGGCGUUAAGUUGCAGGGUAUAGACCCGAAACCCGGUGAUCUAGCCAUGGGCAGGUUGAAGGUUGGGUAACACUAACUGGAGGACCGAACCGACUAAUGUUGAAAAAUUAGCGGAUGACUUGUGGCUGGGGGUGAAAGGCCAAUCAAACCGGGAGAUAGCUGGUUCUCCCCGAAAGCUAUUUAGGUAGCGCCUCGUGAAUUCAUCUCCGGGGGUAGAGCACUGUUUCGGCAAGGGGGUCAUCCCGACUUACCAACCCGAUGCAAACUGCGAAUACCGGAGAAUGUUAUCACGGGAGACACACGGCGGGUGCUAACGUCCGUCGUGAAGAGGGAAACAACCCAGACCGCCAGCUAAGGUCCCAAAGUCAUGGUUAAGUGGGAAACGAUGUGGGAAGGCCCAGACAGCCAGGAUGUUGGCUUAGAAGCAGCCAUCAUUUAAAGAAAGCGUAAUAGCUCACUGGUCGAGUCGGCCUGCGCGGAAGAUGUAACGGGGCUAAACCAUGCACCGAAGCUGCGGCAGCGACACUAUGUGUUGUUGGGUAGGGGAGCGUUCUGUAAGCCUGUGAAGGUGUACUGUGAGGUAUGCUGGAGGUAUCAGAAGUGCGAAUGCUGACAUAAGUAACGAUAAAGCGGGUGAAAAGCCCGCUCGCCGGAAGACCAAGGGUUCCUGUCCAACGUUAAUCGGGGCAGGGUGAGUCGACCCCUAAGGCGAGGCCGAAAGGCGUAGUCGAUGGGAAACAGGUUAAUAUUCCUGUACUUGGUGUUACUGCGAAGGGGGGACGGAGAAGGCUAUGUUGGCCGGGCGACGGUUGUCCCGGUUUAAGCGUGUAGGCUGGUUUUCCAGGCAAAUCCGGAAAAUCAAGGCUGAGGCGUGAUGACGAGGCACUACGGUGCUGAAGCAACAAAUGCCCUGCUUCCAGGAAAAGCCUCUAAGCAUCAGGUAACAUCAAAUCGUACCCCAAACCGACACAGGUGGUCAGGUAGAGAAUACCAAGGCGCUUGAGAGAACUCGGGUGAAGGAACUAGGCAAAAUGGUGCCGUAACUUCGGGAGAAGGCACGCUGAUAUGUAGGUGAAGUCCCUCGCGGAUGGAGCUGAAAUCAGUCGAAGAUACCAGCUGGCUGCAACUGUUUAUUAAAAACACAGCACUGUGCAAACACGAAAGUGGACGUAUACGGUGUGACGCCUGCCCGGUGCCGGAAGGUUAAUUGAUGGGGUUAGCGCAAGCGAAGCUCUUGAUCGAAGCCCCGGUAAACGGCGGCCGUAACUAUAACGGUCCUAAGGUAGCGAAAUUCCUUGUCGGGUAAGUUCCGACCUGCACGAAUGGCGUAAUGAUGGCCAGGCUGUCUCCACCCGAGACUCAGUGAAAUUGAACUCGCUGUGAAGAUGCAGUGUACCCGCGGCAAGACGGAAAGACCCCGUGAACCUUUACUAUAGCUUGACACUGAACAUUGAGCCUUGAUGUGUAGGAUAGGUGGGAGGCUUUGAAGUGUGGACGCCAGUCUGCAUGGAGCCGACCUUGAAAUACCACCCUUUAAUGUUUGAUGUUCUAACGUGGACCCGUGAUCCGGGUUGCGGACAGUGUCUGGUGGGUAGUUUGACUGGGGCGGUCUCCUCCUAAAGAGUAACGGAGGAGCACGAAGGUUGGCUAAUCCUGGUCGGACAUCAGGAGGUUAGUGCAAUGGCAUAAGCCAGCUUGACUGCGAGCGUGACGGCGCGAGCAGGUGCGAAAGCAGGUCAUAGUGAUCCGGUGGUUCUGAAUGGAAGGGCCAUCGCUCAACGGAUAAAAGGUACUCCGGGGAUAACAGGCUGAUACCGCCCAAGAGUUCAUAUCGACGGCGGUGUUUGGCACCUCGAUGUCGGCUCAUCACAUCCUGGGGCUGAAGUAGGUCCCAAGGGUAUGGCUGUUCGCCAUUUAAAGUGGUACGCGAGCUGGGUUUAGAACGUCGUGAGACAGUUCGGUCCCUAUCUGCCGUGGGCGCUGGAGAACUGAGGGGGGCUGCUCCUAGUACGAGAGGACCGGAGUGGACGCAUCACUGGUGUUCGGGUUGUCAUGCCAAUGGCACUGCCCGGUAGCUAAAUGCGGAAGAGAUAAGUGCUGAAAGCAUCUAAGCACGAAACUUGCCCCGAGAUGAGUUCUCCCUGACUCCUUGAGAGUCCUGAAGGAACGUUGAAGACGACGACGUUGAUAGGCCGGGUGUGUAAGCGCAGCGAUGCGUUGAGCUAACCGGUACUAAUGAACCGUGAGGCUUAACCUUACAACGCCGAAGGUGUUU